UAUAAGUUAUUCUAAUAUAAUUAGAUAUUUAAAAUUUUUAAAUUUGAUUGCUAUUGAUACUGUACUAUUAUAUUUGAUUUAAUAUCUAUACUAUAUAUAAAAGCGUAUAGAAAUUCCGACAAUGACAGACGGAAUUCAAAAAGGAAUGAAAGAAUAUUACCUACAAAUGGUUAUGAUUAAUUUGUUAAAAAUAUCUCAAAUAAAAACAAACGGUUAUGAUUAAUCUAUUAAAUAUAAAAUAAUAUUUACUACGAUUGGUUAUGAUUAAUUUAUUAAAAUAUCUCAAAUAAAAAAGAACGGUUAUAAUCAAUCAAUUAAAUCUCUACUAUAUAUAAAAAUCUAUUAUCUACAAAUGCUUAUGAUCAAUUUGUUAAAAAAAUAAUCUCAUGCGAAUGGUUAUGAUUAAUUUGUUAAAAAUAUUUCAAAUAAAAAUAAACGGUUAUAAUUAAUCUAUUAAAUAUAAAAUAAUAUUUACUACGAAUGAUUAUGAAUAUUAUAAAUAUUUUCUAAUAAAAUAUAAUAUAUUAUUAAUUUAUAAAUAAAAUUUUUUAUUUAUAUAAUGUACACAUUUAUAUUGGUUUGAAAUAUAAUUAGAAUAAUAAUUGUUACGUGCAUUUGCACGUACAUUCAACUAGUAAUACUAAAUUACAAUAUAUAUAAAAGAUUAUUAUUAUUAUUAUAUUUCGUUCAUUUUAUAAAAUUCAAUUAUUCUGAAAAUAAAGUGCAGUUUAUUUCAAAAUUGUCUUUAGUCAUAUUUGGCCAAAGAAUUUUAUUGUUUACAAAUAAUAUUUCUUUUACUAAAAUUUAUUUUUAAAU
Molecule: long non-coding RNA, 816 nt
Filed under: Ananas comosus (pineapple)
Lineage: Eukaryota; Viridiplantae; Streptophyta; Magnoliopsida; Poales; Bromeliaceae
Description: long non-coding RNA (ACOM_LNC035438)
Source: RNAcentral